GCCUUUGUUCUAAAAUCACAUACUUUCUGACAGAACUUGCUGUAAGUCCUAACAACAACCUGGUGAACAUCUAUGAGAAGAAAGGCAAAGACUGGGUCAAGAUCCAUGAGCUGACGGAGCACAGUGGACGGAUCACAGGUAUUGAUUGGGCACCAGUGUCAAAUCGUAUUGUGACCUGUGCCUCUGACCGCAAUGCCUACGUCUGGACUCUGAAGGAUGGAGUGUGGAAGCCUACCCUAGUCCUGGUGCGCAUCAACCGGGCAGCCACCUGCG
Cyprinodon variegatus (sheepshead minnow) is the source of this 273-nucleotide long non-coding RNA. RefSeq lists it as uncharacterized. The transcript has 2 exons. Lineage: Eukaryota; Metazoa; Chordata; Actinopteri; Cyprinodontiformes; Cyprinodontidae. The record is from RefSeq and is a predicted model, not a curated record.